GUGAAUUAAACAUGCUUGGUGUCUUCGCUUCGGCAAGGCCCUUGCUUAAAUCACAUCCUAACACCUGUGAACUGUAAGACGUAUGAUGAGGUCUUUGGCCAAGUCAUCGUCUGCCCAUUAUCUUAACAACAAUUAAUGUACAAGUAGUCUAUAUAACGUAAUA
This 163-nucleotide unclassified non-coding RNA is filed under the name soil metagenome. Its description in RNAcentral is "partial internal transcribed spacer 1". The record is from RNAcentral.